GCGGACCCCCGCCCUCCACAGUCCGCGGUGUCUGCCGCCCUCCGUCUUCUCCCACCUGCGCAGGCGGGUGGGGGGACGCCGCGCGCCCCAGCCAGGUGUCUCCGCCCUUGGCCCCGCUCCAGCCCGGCUGAGCGGCCUGGAGCGCCCGGGCCGAAGGCGCCUCGAAGGUGCAUUUCCGGGGAGCGCGGCCCAGGCGGCAGCCCCGAGCCCCCGAGCCCCUCGGCCCAGCAGGGUGUUGGCGCCCCGCACGCCUCCGGGGCUCGCCUUCCCUCCAGGCUCCGCGAACCCCCCGCUGUGCUCGCCCGGCCCGGGCCGCGGCUCCCUCUCCGCCCGUCGGAGACGCGAGGGCAGGGCCCCUCCAGCCACAUCCCCGCGCCCCAUCUCGGGGCAGGCGACGGGACCUCGCCUCGCGCCCCGCACCCCGCGCCCCGCGCCCCGCGCCCCACCCCGGCUUCUCCCGGCGGCGACUCUCCGUGCAGUUUCGGUUUGUGUCUAGGCCGGGUUCGCGCUCCUCUGUCAUUUCUGUGGGCUUCCCAGCCCCUGCCUGCCUCCACGUCCUCGGGUCCCAGGUUUCCGCUUCCAGCCUCUCCAGGCCGCUGGUCCUCGGCCCCCGCGGCCGCAGUGCCCGGGGCGUCCCCGGCCUCCCCGCCUCCCGCCUCCUCUCGCCCGGCCCAGCUCCCAAGGUCGCUCCCGGGCUCCGAGGGGGGCGGGCGCCUUCCCACCUUCCUGCCCGCCCGCCCCCCCCCCCCCCGCCCCGGGCGAGGUACCAGCGCUGACCUUGAGGCGGCCAGGCUGCCCCCCCACCGUGUUCUCCUGCCACCCUUGCCUCUCCUUGACUCGAUGGCUCUCGAGUCGUGGCCACUGGUGGCAGGGGCGUGGGGGCGGCGCCUUCCCCUGGCGGCAACCCGCAGGGGCUUGCAGUCUUGGCUGCGCACGCCGCGGCUGCGAGCGGCCGGGCCUGGGUCAACGCCGGGCGGAGGCGGGGUGGACCUGCGGGCCCGGAGAUCAGACUUUAUUUGUGUUGCUUCAACUUGCCCUGCACGGUUAGACCCGGCGCGCCGGCUCACACGCACCGCGGGGAGUCCGCACCCUCGCCGGCUCCGCUCGCCGGCCCGACCUGCCGGCUCAGCGCCCCGCGCGCCCUUGGCCUCCGCAGAGGCCCCGGCGCCACAGGGCUCGGCGUCCGCCUCCUCCGCGCGCACUCGGGGCUCACCUGGCCCCAGAAGGGCGGCCAGCUGA
Molecule: long non-coding RNA, 1239 nt
Filed under: Canis lupus familiaris (dog)
Lineage: Eukaryota; Metazoa; Chordata; Mammalia; Carnivora; Canidae
Description: lncRNA (ENSCAFG00030020124.1)
Source: RNAcentral